RNAcentral lists this ribosomal RNA (954 nucleotides) under uncultured Flavobacteriaceae bacterium. Its description in RNAcentral is "bacterial SSU rRNA". It matches the Rfam family "Bacterial small subunit ribosomal RNA", at positions 55 to 1014 of the family's 1533-position model. Lineage: Bacteria; Pseudomonadati; Bacteroidota; Flavobacteriia; Flavobacteriales; Flavobacteriaceae. The record is from RNAcentral.
AUGCAAGUCGAGGGGUAUUGGUUUUCGGACCAAGAGACCGGCGCACGGGUGCGUGACGCGUAUGCAAUCUACCUUUUGCAGAGGGAUAGCCCAGAGAAAUUUGGAUUAAUACCUCAUAGUAUAGCAGUUUCGCAUGAAACCACUAUUAAAGUCACAACGGCAAAAGAUGAGCAUGCGUCCCAUUAGCUAGUUGGUAAGGUAACGGCUUACCAAGGCUACGAUGGGUAGGGGUCCUGAGAGGGAGAUCCCCCACACUGGUACUGAGACACGGACCAGACUCCUACGGGAGGCAGCAGUGAGGAAUAUUGGACAAUGGGCGCAAGCCUGAUCCAGCCAUGCCGCGUGCAGGAUGACGGUCCUAUGGAUUGUAAACUGCUUUUGUACAGGAAGAAACACUCCCUCGUGAGGGAGCUUGACGGUACUGUAAGAAUAAGGAUCGGCUAACUCCGUGCCAGCAGCUGCGGUAAUACGGAGGAUCCAAGCGUUAUCCGGAAUCAUUGGGUUUAAAGGGUCCGUAGGCGGUUUAGUAAGUCAGUGGUGAAAGCCCAUCGCUCAACGGUGGAACGGCCAUUGAUACUGCUAGACUUGAAUUAUUAGGAAGUAACUAGAAUAUGUAGUGUAGCGGUGAAAUGCUUAGAGAUUACAUGGAAUACCAAUUGCGAAGGCAGGUUACUACUAAUGGAUUGACGCUGAUGGACGAAAGCGUGGGUAGCGAACAGGAUUAGAUACCCUGGUAGUCCACGCCGUAAACGAUGGAUACUAGCUGUUGGGAGCAAUCUCAGUGGCUAAGCGAAAGUGAUAAGUAUCCCACCUGGGGAGUACGUUCGCAAGAAUGAAACUCAAAGGAAUUGACGGGGGCCCGCACAAGCGGUGGAGCAUGUGGUUUAAUUCGAUGAUACGCGAGGAACCUUACCAAGGCUUAAAUGUAGAUUGACCGGUUUGGAAACAGACUUU